RNAcentral lists this ribosomal RNA (253 nucleotides) under uncultured bacterium. Its description in RNAcentral is "partial 16S ribosomal RNA". It matches the Rfam family "Bacterial small subunit ribosomal RNA", at positions 524 to 776 of the family's 1533-position model. The record is from RNAcentral.
UACGUAGGGGGCAAGCGUUGUCCGGAAUCAUUGGGCGUAAAGCGCGUGUAGGCGGCCCGAUAAGUCCGCUGUGAAAGUCCGGGGCUCAACCCCGGAAAGCCGGUGGAUACUGUCGGGCUAGAGUGUGGAAGAGGCGAGUGGAAUUCCUGGUGUAGCGGUGAAAUGCGCAGAUAUCAGGAAGAACACCCGUGGCUAAGGCGGUUCUCUAGUACGGUACUGACGCUGAGGCGCGAAAGCGUGGGGAGCGAACAGG